RNAcentral lists this ribosomal RNA (464 nucleotides) under uncultured bacterium. RNAcentral's name for it is "bacterial SSU rRNA". It matches the Rfam family "Bacterial small subunit ribosomal RNA", at positions 29 to 523 of the family's 1533-position model. The record is from RNAcentral.
AACGAACGCUGGCGGCAGGCCUAACACAUGCAAGUCGAACGCCGUAGCAAUACGGAGUGGCAGACGGGUGAGUAACGCGUGGGAACAUACCCCUCGGUUCGGAAUAACUUAGGGAAACUUGAGCUAAUACCGGAUACGUCCGAGGUUUUAACCGGCCUCGGAGAAAGAUUUAUCGCCGGAGGAUUGGCCCGCGUCUGAUUAGCUUGUUGGUGAGGUAAUGGCUCACCAAGGCGACGAUCAGUAGCNGGUCUGAGAGGAUGAUCAGCCACAUUGGGAACUGAGACACGGCCCAAACUCCUACGGGAGGCAGCAGUGGGGAAUAUUGGACAAUGGGCGAAAGCCUGAUCCAGCCAUGCCGCGUGAGUGAAGAAGGCCUUAGGGUUGUAAAGCUCUUUCGGCGGGGACGAUGAUGACGGUACCCGCAGAAGAAGCCCCGGCUAACUCCGUGCCAGCCGCCGCUGUAG